This 460-nucleotide ribosomal RNA is filed under the name uncultured bacterium. Its description in RNAcentral is "partial 16S ribosomal RNA". It matches the Rfam family "Bacterial small subunit ribosomal RNA", at positions 338 to 795 of the family's 1533-position model. The record is from RNAcentral.
CCUACGGGAGGCAGCAGUGAGGAAUAUUGGUCAAUGGCCGGAAGGCUGAACCAGCCAUGCCGCGUGAAGGUCAGUGCCCUAUGGGCGUUAAACUUCUUUUGUGCGGGAGCAAUAAUGGUCACGUGUGGCCAGACGAGAGUACCGUACGAAUAAGCAUCAGCUAACUCCGUGCCAGCAGCCGCGGUAAUACGGGGGAUGCAAGCGUUAUCCCGAGUUAUUGGGUUUAAAGGGUGCGUAGGCUGUUAUGUAAGUCAGCGGUGAAAUGCCCCCGCUCAACGGGGUGAAGUGCCAUUGAUACUGCCUUGCUGGAGUGCGGAUGCCGUAGGAGGAAUGUGUGGUGUAGCGGUGAAAUGCAUAGAUAUCACACAGAACACCGAUUGCGAAGGCAGCUCACGAAUCCGCGAUUGACGCUGAUGCACGAAAGCGUGGGUAUCAAACAGGAUUAGAUACCCUUGUAGUC